RNAcentral lists this ribosomal RNA (460 nucleotides) under uncultured bacterium. RNAcentral's name for it is "partial 16S ribosomal RNA". It matches the Rfam family "Bacterial small subunit ribosomal RNA", at positions 338 to 795 of the family's 1533-position model. The record is from RNAcentral.
CCUACGGUGUGCUGCAGUGAGGAAUAUUGGUCAAUGGGCGGGAGCCUGAACCAGCCAAGUCGCGUGAGGGAAGACGGUCCUACGGAUUGUAAACCUCUUUUGCCGGGGAGCAACGGGGUCCUUGCGAGGGCCCGAUGAGAGUACCCGGAUAAAACGCAUCGGCUAACUCCGUGCCAGCAGCCGGGGUAAUACGGAGGAUGCGAGCGUUAGCCGGGUUUAUUGGGUUUAAAGGGUGCGUAGGCGGGCUGUUAAGUCCCCGGUCAAAUGUAGGGGCUCCACCCCGGCCUGCCGUUGAAACUGGCGGCCUCGAGUGGGCGAGAAGUAUGCGGAAGGCGUGGUGUAGCGGUGAAAUGCAUAGAUAUCACGCAGAACUCCGAUUGCGAAGGCAGCAUACCGGCGCCCGACUGACGCUGAGGCACGAAAGCGUGGGUAUCGAACAGGAUUAGAUACCCCAGUAGUC